Molecule: transfer RNA, 72 nt
Filed under: Mychonastes homosphaera
Lineage: Eukaryota; Viridiplantae; Chlorophyta; Chlorophyceae; Sphaeropleales; Mychonastaceae
Also listed under: 1 other name
Description: tRNA-Cys
Rfam family: tRNA
About the family: Transfer RNA (tRNA) molecules are approximately 80 nucleotides in length. Their secondary structure includes four short double-helical elements and three loops (D, anti-codon, and T loops). Further hydrogen bonds mediate the characteristic L-shaped molecular structure. tRNAs have two regions of fundamental functional importance: the anti-codon, which is responsible for specific mRNA codon recognition, and the 3' end, to which the tRNAs corresponding amino acid is attached (by aminoacyl-tRNA synthetases). tRNAs cope with the degeneracy of the genetic code in two manners: having more than one tRNA (with a specific anti-codon) for a particular amino acid; and 'wobble' base-pairing, i.e. permitting non-standard base-pairing at the 3rd anti-codon position.
Source: RNAcentral
GGUUAAAUCGUCUAAUGGCUAAGGCGAAAGAUUGCAAAUCUUUCAAUAGCAGUUCGAGUCUGCUUUUAACCU